UACGUAGGGGGCAAGCGUUGUCCGGAAUUAUUGGGCGUAAAGGGCGCGUAGGCGGCCUUCUAAGUCGAACGUGAAAUCCCUCGGCUUAACCGGGGAACUGCAUCUGAUACUGGAUGGCUUGAGAUUGGGAGAGGGAUGCGGAAUUCCAGGUGUAGCGGUGAAAUGCGUAGAUAUCUGGAGGAACACCGGUGGCGAAGGCGGCAUCCUGGACCAACACUGACGCUGAGGAGCGAAAGCCAGGGGAGCAAACGGG
This 253-nucleotide ribosomal RNA is filed under the name uncultured bacterium. Its description in RNAcentral is "partial 16S ribosomal RNA". It matches the Rfam family "Bacterial small subunit ribosomal RNA", at positions 524 to 776 of the family's 1533-position model. The record is from RNAcentral.